CGAGCGGCGGACGGCUGAGUAACACGUUGGAUACCUGCCCCAGACUCAGGGAUAACAUCUAGAAAUAGGUGCUACUACCGGAUAGUCCCGCAAGGGUAAAGCUUUUGCGGUCUGGGAGGGUCCUGCGGCCUAUCAGCUUGUUGGUGAGGUAGUGGCUCACCAAGGCUAUGACGGGUAGCUGGUCUGAGAGGAUGAUCAGCCACAAUGGGACUGAGACACGGCCCAUACUCCUACGGGAGGCAGCCGUAAGGAAUCUUCCGCAAUGGACGAAAGUCUGACGGAGCCAAUACCGCGUGAGGGAAGAAGGUCGCACGAUUGUAAACUCCUUUUCUGAGGGAAGAUUAUGACGGUACCUUAGGAAUAGCACCGCUAACUCCGUGCCAGCAGCCGCGGUAAUACGGAGGAUGCAAGCGUUACCCGGAAUUAUUGGGCAUAAAGCGUCCGCAGGUGGUUUAUUAAGUCGAAUGUUAAAUCUUGGAGCCCAACUCUGAGGCCGUAUUCGAAACUGGUAAACUAGAGUUUCUCAGAGGCAAGUGGAAUUCUGUGUGUAGGGGUAAAAUUCGUAGAUAUACAGGGGAAUACCAAAAGCGAAGGCAGCUUGCUGGGAAAAUACUGACACUCAUGGACGAAAGCGUGGGUAGCGAACGGGAUUAGAUACCCCGGUAGUCCACGCCGUAAACGAUGGAUACUAGGUGUUGGGAGGCUCGGUCCUCUCAGUGCCGUAGCUAACGCAUUAAGUAUCCCGCCUGGGGAGUACGAUCGCAAGAUUAAAACUCAAAGGAAUAGACGGGGACCCACACAAGCGGUGGAGCAUCUGGCUUAAUUCGAUAAUGAGCGAGGAACCUUACCUAGACUUGACAUCCUGGGAAUUCUUUAGAAAUAAAGAAGUGCCUUCUGGAACCCAGUGACAGGUGCUGCAUGGUUGUCGUCAGCUCGUGCCUUGAGGUGUACGGUUAAGUCCGCUAACGAGCGCAACCCAUGUCUUAUGUUGUAUUUCUCAUAAGAGACUGCCGAUUCAAAGUCGGAGGAAGGUAUGGAUGACGUCAAAUCAGCAUGGCCCUUAUGUCUAGGGCUGCACAGGUGCUACAAUGGGUGGUACAAUGGGUAGCAAUGCCGUAAGGUGGAGCCAAUCCUGAAAACCACUCUAAGUUCGAAUUGAGGGCUGCAAUUUGCCCUCAUGAAGUUGGAAUCGCUAGUAACCGCGUAUCAGCAAUGUCGCGGUGAAUAUGUUCCUGGGUCUUGUACUCACCGCCCGUCACACUAUGAAAGGAGGAAGCGCC
This 1280-nucleotide ribosomal RNA is filed under the name uncultured organism. RNAcentral describes it as "bacterial SSU rRNA". It matches the Rfam family "Bacterial small subunit ribosomal RNA", at positions 92 to 1421 of the family's 1533-position model. The record is from RNAcentral.